UGAGAGCUCUCUCUCACCCAAUGUCAAUAUGUCAUUCCCUCCUGACCCCGAGGGUGGAGUAAAGCCUCGUCCUCACCCAGGAGAGGUCUGGUCCUUGCCCUCGGCUCCUGGGAAAUAACCUAAAUUCUUGGCACUUCCCAAGGGAUAGGAGCAUCUUUGUUAUUCGUGGGGUGAGACGCUGCUCCCUGCCGGGAAGGACGCCCCUGACAAGCAGUGACUUUCUGCAAAAUAAUUUUUGGCCUUUGUCUCCCAAACCUAGAGCCUAGGAGGGAGAGAGCAUUAUGGAUACAGAAAACAGCAGGAUGUUCACAGCCACUCUGCUGACCUGUGACCUAGAAGAGCCUAUUUUCUUAGCUUGAAGUGUCACAGAAGAGAGAGCACAAGAGAACAUGGAUUUCCAAGCUGGUAUGGACAAUAACCCAAGGUCACGUGUCUCUCUAGACUGUACUGCCUCAU
Long non-coding RNA from Talpa occidentalis (Iberian mole), 456 nucleotides. RefSeq lists it as uncharacterized. NCBI's taxonomy places the organism in Eukaryota, Metazoa, Chordata, Mammalia, Eulipotyphla, Talpidae. The transcript is spliced from 3 exons. The record is from RefSeq and is a predicted model, not a curated record.